CGGGUUCUGACCUUUGCGUGCAUGGUUGCAUUCCGGUGGCCUUAAGCAAUUCCGAGGGAGUUGGCUCUGUCCGGGCCCUGGUCCGGUUACCUGACGCCCACCUGUAUAUACAGGUCCUCGGGAAUGAGAUAACCCCACGGAAGGACCGGUUCCCGC
This 156-nucleotide unclassified non-coding RNA is filed under the name Alloyangia pacifica. RNAcentral's name for it is "Yangia pacifica 6S / SsrS RNA". The record is from RNAcentral. Lineage: Bacteria; Pseudomonadati; Pseudomonadota; Alphaproteobacteria; Rhodobacterales; Roseobacteraceae.